RNAcentral lists this ribosomal RNA (312 nucleotides) under uncultured bacterium. Its description in RNAcentral is "bacterial SSU rRNA". It matches the Rfam family "Bacterial small subunit ribosomal RNA", at positions 30 to 341 of the family's 1533-position model. The record is from RNAcentral.
AUUAAACGCUGGCGGCAUGCCUUACACAUGCAAGUCGAACGGCAGCACGGGGGCAACCCUGGUGGCGAGUGGCGGACGGGUGAGUAAAGCAUCGGAACGUAUCCUGGAGUGGGGGAUAACGUAGCGAAAGUUACGCUAAUACCGCAUAUUCUGUGAGCAGGAAAGCAGGGGAUCGCAAGACCUUGCGCUCUGGGAGCGGCCGAUGUCGGAUUAGCUAGUUGGUGGGGUAAAGGCCUACCAAGGCGACGAUCCGUAGCGGGUCUGAGAGGAUGAUCCGCCACCACUGGGACUGAGACACGGCCCAGACUCCUA